UACGUAGGUGGCAAGCGUUGUCCGGACUUACUGGGUGUAAAGGGCGUGCAGCCGGGCUGACAAGUCAGAUGUGAAAUCCCGCGGCUCAACCGCGGAACUGCAUUUGAAACUGUCAGUCUUGAGUACCGGAGAGGUCAUCGGAAUUCCUUGUGUAGCGGUGAAAUGCGUAGAUAUAAGGAAGAACACCAGUGGCGAAGGCGACUUACUGGACUGUAACUGACGCUGAGGCAUGAGAGCAUGGGGAGCAAACAGG
RNAcentral lists this ribosomal RNA (253 nucleotides) under uncultured bacterium. RNAcentral describes it as "partial 16S ribosomal RNA". It matches the Rfam family "Bacterial small subunit ribosomal RNA", at positions 524 to 776 of the family's 1533-position model. The record is from RNAcentral.